Molecule: ribosomal RNA, 484 nt
Filed under: uncultured bacterium
Lineage: Bacteria
Description: partial 16S ribosomal RNA
Rfam family: Bacterial small subunit ribosomal RNA
Source: RNAcentral
AUUGAACGCUGGCGGCAGGCCUAACACAUGCAAGUCGAGCGGAUGAAGGGAGCUUGCUCCUGGAUUCAGCGGCGGACGGGUGAGUAAUGCCUAGGAAUCUGCCUGGUAGUGGGGGAUAACGUCCGGAAACGGGCGCUAAUACCGCAUACGUCCUGAGGGAGAAAGUGGGGGAUCUUCGGACCUCACGCUAUCAGAUGAGCCUAGGUCGGAUUAGCUAGUUGGUGGGGUAAAGGCCUACCAAGGCGACGAUCCGUAACUGGUCUGAGAGGAUGAUCAGUCACACUGGAACUGAGACACGGUCCAGACUCCUACGGGAGGCAGCAGUGGGGAAUAUUGGACAAUGGGCGAAAGCCUGAUCCAGCCACGGCGCGUGUGUGAAGAAGGUCUUCGGAUUGUAAAGCACUUUAAGUUGGGAGGAAGGGCAGUAAGUUAAUACCUUGCUGUUUUGACGGUACCAACAGAAUAAGCACCGGCUAACUUCGUG